GUGGGCUAUGGGGAUAUGAGACCUGUUACUGUAGGGGGUAAGAUUGUGGGUUCCUUGUGCGCCAUCGCUGGUGUGCUCACCAUCGCCCUGCCUGUCCCUGUUAUUGUGUCCAAC
This is a non-coding RNA of Colinus virginianus (northern bobwhite), 114 nucleotides long. The record is from Rfam. NCBI's taxonomy places the organism in Eukaryota, Metazoa, Chordata, Aves, Galliformes, Odontophoridae.